Molecule: ribosomal RNA, 453 nt
Filed under: uncultured bacterium
Lineage: Bacteria
Description: bacterial SSU rRNA
Rfam family: Bacterial small subunit ribosomal RNA
Source: RNAcentral
UACGGAAGGCAGCAGUGGGGAAUAUUGCACAAUGGGCGCAAGCCUGAUGCAGCCAUGCCGCGUGUAUGAAGAAGGCCUUCGGGUUGUAAAGUACUUUCAGUCGUGAGGAAGGUGUUAAGGUUAAUAACCUUAGCAAUUGACGUUAGCGACAGAAGAAGCACCGGCUAACUCCGUGCCAGCAGCCGCGGUAAUACGGAGGGUGCGAGCGUUAAUCGGAAUUACUGGGCGUAAAGGGCACGCAGGCGGUUAAUUAAGUUGGAUGUGAAAUCCCCGGGCUUAACCUGGGAAUGGCAUUCAAGCUGGUUAGCUAGAGUCUUGUAGAGGGGGUAGAAUUCCAUGUGUAGCGGUGAAAUGCGUAGAGAUGUGGAGGAAUACCGGUGGCGAAGGCGGCCCCUGGACAAAGGACUGACGCUCAUGUGCGAAAGCGUGGGGAGCAAACAGGGAUUAGAUACC